Molecule: ribosomal RNA, 664 nt
Filed under: Stomatella impertusa A STW-2009
Lineage: Eukaryota; Metazoa; Mollusca; Gastropoda; Trochida; Trochidae
Description: partial 12S ribosomal RNA
Rfam family: Bacterial small subunit ribosomal RNA
Source: RNAcentral
GACAAACAGGUCAAAUUAAGUUUUAGUUGGUGAAAAAGGAAGUUAGGGAACUUGCGUUGUUAAAUGGGAGUAGAAAAAUAGAUUUCUUUUGUAGGGGUGGAAUCUGUGCAAAAGAAGGUAGAUUAUAAAUUUUCUAGACUUGAUACUUCGAAAAUUAGUGAAGAGACCGGGAUUAGAUACCCCGUUAUUUUUAUUGUAAAAUUUGGUUUAAACCUACCUGAGUAUUACGGAUUGGGCUCAUUAUAAGCAUUAUAGAGAGCCCUUUUGUCUAAAACUCAAAAAACUUGGCGGUGCCUUAUUUCUUUCCAGGGGAACCUGUCCUGUAAUCGAUAAUCCACGAUUUAGCUUACUUUUUUUUGAAUGUAAAUGUAGUUUUAUAUCAGCCUGUAUACCGUCGUCGUCAGAUUACCUUUAAGAGGGAGAGAAGUUGUCAGGUGAAUAUGAUUUAAAUUAAAAAGCUUUAGGGCAAUUAGGCCUAGGAGUAUAUAAGUGUUUAGGUGUGUUUUGAUGUCAGAUCAAGGUGCAGCUUAUAAGAAAGGAGAGAUGGGUUACAGUAUAAAUUUAAUUUGGAUUCUGGGAUGUAACUUCUUAGAUGAAAUUGGACUUGGGAGUAAUUCAGUUUUAGUAAUUAGUAAGUAUGUGUGAAUGUUGUACUAAGGCGCGU